Molecule: long non-coding RNA, 822 nt
Organism: Passer domesticus (house sparrow)
Lineage: Eukaryota; Metazoa; Chordata; Aves; Passeriformes; Passeridae
Exons: 3
Source: RefSeq, a predicted model, not a curated record
ACUCUUUGUCCUACCACCCCUGUGUCCUCAGACCAUUGGCCACUGACCCCUACUUAACCUUGGGCACAUUACAUGGCUUGGUCAUUUUUUUUCCCUGAUUUCCCCUCUGGUGUGCUGGAAUAAACCUUGGCUGUAAUUUAGCAUACAAAAGACCUUUCUGCCUCUCUGCACUGAGCUAGUUGUGGUGAGUGUGGUGUGUGACUGCUUUGCCUGAAUGCUUACCCAAGCUGCUUUUCCACAGGAGUUGCUUAUUGGGAAAUAGAAUUUAGGUACUGCUGAUAAAUCCAAGCACAAGCAGGACACAAUCAAGCAUACAGCAGUCAUGGAAUCACAGAGCCACAGAACACUCUGGGUUGGAAGGGACCUCCCAAGCCUGGUGCUCCAUCCCUCUUACCAUCCUGGUGGCCUCCUCUGGAUCUGCUCCAACAGCUCCAUGAUCUUCUGUGCUGAGGAGCUCAGAGCUGGGUGCUGCACAGGUCUCACCAGAGUGGAGCAGAGGGGCAGAAUCCCCUCCCUUGCCCAGCUGGUGAUGUAGCCCAGGACACUGCUGGCUUUUUGGGGUGCAAAUGCACAUUGCCAGCUCAUGCUGAGCCUCUCAUCCAUCAGCACCCUGAAGUCUUUCUCUGCAGGGCUGCCUGCAAUCCCUCCAUCCCCCAGCCUGUACUGAUACUGGGGGAUGUCCUGACCCAGGUGCAGGAUUACUGCACCACAAUGGAGUAAAUUAACUUUUGGCUGGGGACUCCAUCUUCCAUGGAAUCUGAAGUCUACACAAAGCAGACAUGAUCUCAUUUCAGGAUUUUGCUUUCAUCUAACCAUUCUCUA